UGGGGUGUUCUGCUCUGGCGGCAGCGGCAGCGGCGGCGGGACGCGGAGGCUCCCCCGGGAUUCGGCCUCAGCAGCGAGGCGGCGGCGGCGGCUGCGGAGGCGCAGGCAGCAACUGAGGCAGCGGCAGGCUCAGGUGCAGCCGCUGGCACAGCUUGCCCUGAAGACUCGGCUACUGCCUUCUGUGGGAGUUUCGCUUCGUACAGAGGACAAGUUUGUGCUUUGGUUUCCAGUGUUUUACUUUGGAGUUUAGGUGCCAUAUCCUGAGGUUUUUUUUGUUUUUGUUUUUGUUUCUCCUUUAUUUAAAGUUUGCUGUGUUUGUAACCAGUGUGUGUUGAGAAGGACCAACACCAAACCACCCUGGGGAAGGGGGACAGGGAAACAUUUAACACAGACGAUGAUCAGGAUUUGCCCCAAACCACCCCAAGAGAGAGGACUGAGUGGAACAAAAAAGUGACCCCCAGAACCUCUCUUAGUGUGAGGGUGGGUAGAAUGAGAACUGACACCUGGGAGCUGUGGGGAGCAGAGCGGCUUUGGGGAAGAGUGGAGUGACUAGACACCUAAUGCCCUGGCAGCUGGAGACUCAAACUCCUGUACAGCUACCUUCUGGGAAAUAGUUUUUGACACCUAUUUUUCAGAUUCUUGUCCGGAAUUUCUGCUGCUCUUUUCAAAAAAGGGCAUUAACAAUUCUCUGGAAAUAAAGCACCUGUUAGCCUGACAUAUGCAAAAAGCAGGGCGGCAUCACCCAUUACGAGCUCCCCCAGCCAGCAGUCAGUAUUGGAUUGGCCUUGCCUGGCUGGUGGCAGUUUGGGAGAAACAGCCAAAGAGGUUAGUUUAUUUCAACACCAAAUUAGACCAUGGCCCAUUUCCAACGGGUCUCUUUAAAGGCCUCUAUGGAAUACAUUGCCUGGUUUCCUUCUUUGCAGUUCACCACAGCAAGGAAUGUCACCUCCAUCCCAAGCCACCAUUUUCUCAUGAAGGCAAAUCCAAGAAGGGCUUGCAGUUCUUGCUGAAGGGGGUACCAUUUGUGGGCAGAGUGAUCAAUACCAUCUAGUUGGGGGAGGAGGAGCUUAUUUCUUGGUGUACUUGAAUCAGAAGGUCCCUGCAAGCCAGUAUGCUUCAUUUGCCAGUGGCCAGAAAUUCUCCCUUGCCUCCUUGAUUGAGGUGUCCCAGAUGUAGUAUUCCCACAGGGGUCUGGCAGGCCCCUCCUGUAACCACUCCAGUCACAUUUUCUGCUCUUGAGGCAGAGGUGACAUCAGGACGUUUACAGCCUCCACAUGAAUUGAGUGUUCAUUUACCUCAGUAUUACCGUGUUCAUUUUUGUCCUCGUGCUACAGUUAGCUCCCUGCCGCCUCUUGCAGGUCUUACUUCAGCUCUUGCCUGUGACCCACACAGCUUCUGGGCUCUGCCUCUGCUCUAAGAAGUGCUGUGGGGGUAGAGAACCAGGAAGGACAUGCUGUUGGGAAUGUACACCUGGGCAGAGGUGGCCCUGUUAAGAUGUGACUGUAGCCACAGCCAGGGAUGGGAUCCCUGGGUCUCUGGAAUCUGAAACCUCAACAAAUACCAGUCUUGACCCCUAGCAGCAGAGAUAAGAAUAAAGGGGUUGGUUUGCUAUUAAGUCAGAUGGGGGCUCUCUCCUUGUCAUGCUGUCCCUGUGGGUAACAGACAGGGAUUGACCAUCUUACUGUUGUACAGGUAGCUGGUGGUGUUGGAUUAUCCCAUUGAAGCUGGGACAGCUGUUCCUUUCUCAUAGUGAUAACUUGGGUCUGUUGUCCUCUAAGGAACGUGAAACAUACACUUCUUAAGCUGAACCACGUAAACUUGAAAUUCUGCGCACUGGGAGAAAUGUGUCCUGUGUUUCAAAGGAUAAAACUGUUCUAAAGGCUUCCAGGGUCAUGAUGGGAUUUUUUAAAUAAAUGC
Molecule: long non-coding RNA, 1917 nt
Filed under: Homo sapiens (human)
Lineage: Eukaryota; Metazoa; Chordata; Mammalia; Primates; Hominidae
Description: non-protein coding lnc-KBTBD4-4:1
Source: RNAcentral